Molecule: ribosomal RNA, 3219 nt
Filed under: Triticum aestivum (bread wheat)
Lineage: Eukaryota; Viridiplantae; Streptophyta; Magnoliopsida; Poales; Poaceae
Description: partial small subunit ribosomal RNA
Source: RNAcentral
AUGCAUUGCUCUGGUGUUCUGUCCCUAACUUCAGAAAUGAUUAUGACUGGCAGGCAGGGAUACUCUCACAGUUCUGGCCUUGGAAUCAAAGACAAUAGCGCCUUCAGGCCCGGAGUAUAUCUCAACUUCAACGUGCAAAGCAGUGCGCAAGAAUGGAAAGAGGAGAGCAAGAGGAUAUGUUCUAUCAAAACCACCAAUGCUGUCAUGAACAAUGUUUAUAAUGGUUACGCUCUGCGAUCAGGAAAUCUUCAUCAUGAUCCCUUGGAAGAUUGCAAGACCUCCAACCAGUCUCCAUUGUACAGUGUAAGAGAAAGAAUGGCUCCUAACUCUCUUGCAAAUAGACACGCCAAUAUGGAAUUGGCAAAGCAACAUGUGAUGAGUCCCACUGCAGGUGCUGUGUCAGCACUGACCAGUGCUGUGGAUUAUGACAUCAAAUCGCUAAACAGGUCUAGUGACUCCGAAGUGGAAAUCCAAUGGCCUAAUGGUUCCAAAAUUGACGCUUCUCUGCCAAAUAUUCAUCAAGUCAAAAAGGGCCUGCAGUUUGGUGGCAAGGCUGAUGAUUAUGAUGAAGUUGAGCAUGAAUGCACAGCCAAAACUGUGGUUAAUGAUGACAUCAAACUGCCAAACAGGCCAAGUGGUUCUGAGGUGGAGAUGCAUUGGCCUACUGGCUCCGAGAUUGAUGAUUCUCUGCUAACUACUGGUAAAGUCAAAAGGAGCCCUAAGAUUCGUAAAGUCAAGAAGAGCCCUCAGUUUAAUGACUUGGCUAUAGAUGGUUAUAAUGAAGCUGAGCAUGAAUGCACAGCCAAGACAGCGGUACAGCCUCCUCCAGCUAAAGCCCCCUUGUCCAAGGAGGCUAAAGAUGCACGGGAGGCUCUUGCUACCAUCUACGACAAAGUUCUGGUGGUCGACACCGUUGAAUCAGCUAGGAGUGUUGUUCAGCUACUUACCACAAAGUACAAGAGCUUUAUUCAUGCAUGUGACACAGAGGUGUCAAAUAUUGAUGUUAAACAAGAGACACCAGUUGGCCAUGGAGAUGUCACAUGCUUUAGCAUCUAUUCUGCCAGCUCUGACGCUGAAGCUGAUUUUGGAAAUGGUAAAACAUGCAUUUGGGUGGAUGUACUGGAUGGUGAAAGGGAUGUCCUCAUGGAGUUUGUUCCCUUCUUUGAAGAUUCAGCGAUCCGGAAGGUAUGGCACAACUAUAGUUUCGAUAAACAUGUAAUUGAGAACUAUGGAAUCAAAGUUGCUGGAUUUCAUGCUGAUACAAUGCAUCUCGCACGGCUUUGGGACUCUUCGAGAAGACUUGAUGGAGGAUAUUCACUCGAAGGACUCACAAAUGAUAGCAGAGUCAUGGGUGUGGUCCCAAAGGAACUACAAAAGAUUGGAAAGAGAUCAAUGAAAACCAUCUUUGGCAGGAAAAAGAUUAAAAAAGAUGGCUCCGAAGGAAAAAUUACUACCAUAGAGUCUGUUGAGGUUUUGCAAAGAGAGGAUAGAGAGCUGUGGAUCAGCUAUUCUUCUUUAGAUUCAGUGAGUACCUUGAGGCUUUAUGAAAGCUUGAAAAGUAAGCUUGAAAAAAAGCACUGGUCGUUUGAUGGUUGCCCCAGAGGUUCAUUGUAUGAUUUCUACGAGGAGUACUGGCGUCCUUUCGGCGCUAUUCUUGUAAAAAUGGAAACAGCUGGAAUGCUUGUUGACCGUGCUUACCUGUCAGAGAUUGAAAAAGUUGCUGUUGCACAGCGAAAAGUAGCUGCAGAUAAAUUUCAGAAAUGGGCAUCUAAAUAUUGCCCUGAUGCAAAGUACAUGAAUGUUAAUAGUGAUACCCAGAUUCGCCAACUCUUCUUUGGUGGCAUAGAAAAUAGACGCAACCCUGGUGAAUUUUUGCCAAAGAGUAGGACUUUGAAAGUCCCAAAUGAUGUCAACACAGUUACAGAGGGCAAGAAGGCUCCAAAGUAUCGCACAAUUGAAAUUUGCAGUAUUGUGGAAGGUCUAAAACCUGAGGUAUUCACUGCAAGCGGCUGGCCUUCAGUCAGUGGCGAUGCUUUGAGAAGUUUGGCUGGGAAAUUGAAAACUGAUCUUUACACAACGGAGGAUGCAGAGGAUGAUGAAUAUGUCAGUGAUUCAGAAAUUUCUGUGGAUGACAUAGAAGACGCUACCUCGUAUGGCACUGCAUACAAAGCAUUUGGAGGUGGAAAGGAAGGAAAGGAAGCAUGUUAUGCCAUUGCAGCUCUCUGCGAGAUCUGCUCUAUAGAUUCAUUGAUAUCAAAUUUUAUUCUACCCUUACAGGGAAAUCGUAUAUCCUGUAAGGAGGGGAGGAUCCACUGUUCCUUAAAUAUCAACACUGAAACUGGACGUUUGUCAGCAAGGGCGCCGAAUUUACAGAAUCAACCUGCACUUGAAAAGGAUCGGUACAAAAUCCGCCAAGCUUUUGUUGCAGCUCCGGGGAACUCUCUUAUUGUUGCUGAUUAUGGUCAGCUGGAGCUCAGGAUCCUGGCACAUCUUGCUAAUUGUAGAAGUAUGUUAGAUGCCUUCAAAGCUGGCGGUGACUUCCAUUCCAGGACAGCCAUGAAUAUGUACCAGCAUAUUCGUGAGGCUGUUGAAGAAAAGAGAGUACUUCUUGAGUGGGAUCCUCAACCUGGUCAAGAGAAACCCCCUGUGCCAUUGUUGAAGGAUGCAUUUGGUGCUGAGAGGAGGAAAGCUAAGAUGCUCAAUUUCUCCAUUGCAUAUGGAAAAACAGCUGCUGGGCUUGCUCGGGAUUGGAAGGUAUCAAAAAGGGAAGCAGAUGAUACACUGGAUCUCUGGUACAGCGACAGAAAAGAAGUUCGUUCAUGGCAAAAGGAACAGAAAGAAUUAGCAUAUGAGAAGUCUGAAGUUUAUACUUUGCUUGGACGAUCUCGCCGUUUCCCCAACAUUACUUCUGUAAACUCUAAACAGUGGAAGCACAUCGAGCGUGCUGCCAUCAAUGCUCCUGUACAGGGCAGUGCAGCAGAUGUUGCGAUGUGUGCAAUGAUUGAGAUAGAAAGGAAUACCCGUCUUAAGGAGCUCGGUUGGACCCUCCUGUUGCAGGUGCACGACGAGGUGAUACUGGAAGGACCUUCCGAGUCGGCUGAGGUGGCCAAGGCAAUAGUGGUUGAGUGCAUGUCUAAGCCCUUCUACGGCACCAACAUCCUGUCGGUUGACCUGGCUGUUGAUGCAAAAUGCGCACAGAACUGGUACGCGGCAAAGUAG